UGACCCCCUUUGCUACGGUCACAUGUGACUCACAGCAGAGUUACAACAAUUCGCACAGCGCAACAAGGGGAACAAAGAGAAUCAAUGGUGUUCUAAAACGAAGAUUUGCCUGCCUAAAUUAUCUUCGUGUGGAGCUGCACAAAUGAGAAGAGUUUCACUUAAUGAAGAAAUCCUGGACAGGCUGCCACUUGAGGCAGAAGUACCACAGCUGCAGCCACCACCACCACAUCGAGCCGAUGAACCAGUAGGAAGAGCAGUUAGAAAUACCAUGGUGAAUUUUUAUUUUUCAUGAUGGGUUAUAGCUCAUAACAUUUAACAGUUCAGUAAUACUGUUUCUCCAUCAGCUUUGGUGAUUAAUGAUAAGGCCUGGUUCUUUUGUUUGACAAAACUGCUAUUUCUAUGUUUAAGUUUGAAUAUGAAUGCCUUAUUUAAGUAACAGUUUUUUGUUAAGUUAUACCCACUGAUAAAGGCCUCCACUCAAACCAGUCAAAUAUAUUUAUUAACAUGCAUGCAGCACACACGCACUUAAUUUUCAUAGCCAAAGCUCAAAAGGUUAUGCCAUUUGGAGCAGGUCUGUGUUAACUGGCUGUCUUCCCUUUCCACAGACAUCUGUAAAGAAAAACAAAUAUUACGGUUUUAGGGCUGUCCCUUAAGUUGACACCUGUUUCCUAAAAAGAGAAAACACAGUAAGAGUCUUAUAUCUGGUGAGAUAUAAGAGCCUUACUUCAAACACCCUGAAAAGAAAGCCAGGAGCACCUGAUGAAGGUCACCCACCCAAACAAGCUAAGUUACGGGAGACCAGAAGAGUGUCCCAGGCCAGUGUUGAUACAGAAGUCCUUAAUUUUAUCAUACAAGGCCUGCACCCACUUAAUGUGGUUGAGCAACAGGGUUUCAUAGAUCUUGUACAACAUCUGCUCUAGCCUGCAAACAGCUUAAAGGGUCACAUUCUUUUUCUGCCCUUGCCAGUGCUCUGAAUGAUAUCCACACUGAGUUUAACAUCCGUGAAAAGAUUACCCGCACCACAACUGAUAAUGGCUCGAAUUUCUUAAAAGCUUUUAGAGUGUAUGGUCAGACCGACGAAAAUAACAACAAUCCAGCACCUACAGAAGGGAGUGGUGAAGUAGAUGAUGAUGAUAAGAAUGAUGAAGACCAGGAUAGCACUCAGAGCGUGGAGUUUGUUGAGGCUGGAGCCAUAUUGGAUGAAGACAACUGCCUGGAAUAUCAGCUUCCAAAACACCAUCGUUGCGCUUGCCACCUUCUCAACUUGGUGUCAACAGUUGAUGUUGAGGAGGCAAAUUUGAGCACAGUCUACAAGUGUGUCUCACGCUCAACGUUCUCAAAGUGCUGGAGUCUUUGGAACAAAAGCGCAAGAUCCACCACAGCAGCUGAGAUCAUUGAAGAGAAUUGCAAACUCCAGCUCUUGAGGCCCAAUGCAACAAAUGGAACUCACUCUUCUUAGCAGUGGAGAGGAUUGUGAGAAUUGCAAGGGAACAAGGAGAAGGGGCCAUUGCAGCUGUUUGCAGUGCACUAAAGAUACUGAUGUAUGCACCUGCCCCUUUUCAUUUUUAAAGCUGAACUAUAUAUUUUUUCACUUUAAUAAUUUGGACAGAUCCUCAGAGAUCCAGAGCUGGUCGCCACAGCAAUUCUAGUCCCCAAAUUCAAGACAUGCUGGACAAGUGACGAAUGCGUCCUAAAACUUGUCACUUGAAAGACCAAGCUGUGGAGAAUCAAGGAGAGAUCUCCCAUUCUUCAGAGAAGGAGGACUUCUUUUCUGCAAUCAAACAGACCAAUUCCCAAGAAAAUGCCAAACAGCUUGAGGCUUACCUUGGAUGCCGAGGUGAUACAGUAGAUAUACUUAAGUCUUUCCCGGCAGUAUGCAACCUUUCAUUGAGGCUUAACACCACACUCCCAGCCUCAGCAGCCUGCAAGAGAUGUUUAGUGCAGCAGGACUGAUCUUCAGACCAAAGCGGGCACCUAUAGGUUCCAAGAACUUUGAAAACCAGCUUCUUUUGAGGCUAAACAGAAGGUUCUGGUAUUUGUUUAGGGUAUGCCAUUGUACUCUUUCUGUCCUACACAAACACACAAAAUACUGACGUACACUCUCACACGCAGACCGAAAAUGCUCCUGUGGCACCAAUGGUGUUGUUAGUUUAUGUCCAGUUUUACUGCCCAGUUUUUGAAGGAAAUUAUGGACAAGCAUACUUCUCACUCAGACUCCCUCUCUUUCUUUCGCUCUCUUACUCACAC
Non-coding RNA from Gasterosteus aculeatus aculeatus (three-spined stickleback), 2247 nucleotides. NCBI's taxonomy places the organism in Eukaryota, Metazoa, Chordata, Actinopteri, Perciformes, Gasterosteidae. The record is from RefSeq and is a predicted model, not a curated record.